This 455-nucleotide long non-coding RNA is filed under the name Numida meleagris (helmeted guineafowl). RNAcentral describes it as "lncRNA (ENSNMEG00000018696.1)". Lineage: Eukaryota; Metazoa; Chordata; Aves; Galliformes; Numididae. The record is from RNAcentral.
AUUGAAAUCUACAUUUAUUAAACCAGAUUUUAAGUAGAUUUAUUUGAAUAUAUUUCCAGGCUGUGGACAAUGAGAUCUACCAGUGACUGAGGACACAAAUCAGAACACCGUGAUGUCUGUCUGCUUCUCUUGAGAAUGCCACUUUUGUUUCUCUCAAGGGAUAGUUCAUCACUUUGCCUAUCCCAGUUUUUCAUGUGGUUCCAAAUCCAUUUGUAUCGUCCAGGAGGAGGAAUCAGCGCAUGUAAGGAUAAAGACUGGACAGCUCUGCAUAGUGAACAAAAUGCUAUUUCACAGAUCGAAUACCAUCACGUUUGUAGAGAAUUAGAUGGAAGAGUACCGGAGGAGAAUGAGGUUGGCUUUCACUGUAAAAGUAAUUGAGGGUUGUCUUGAUAGUUGGUUUAGAUCCCUGUUUCUGGCUGUGGUGGUUUGACCACUGCUAGACACCCAGAUAGCCG